UGUACUUUCUCUCAUCCGGUAACGUUACAUUCUCUCCGCUCGGCUGUUUAAUGUGUACCGAGCGCCCUCACAGUUUCUGUCACACACUCAGACAACGUGAGUACAGAAGCCGGUUGUCUUAAAGGCACGACGAAACACCUGAACGAGCAGAGACGAGCUGCUGGCCGGUAUCUAACUCAGGUCUCACUCUGAGCACAUCAUUGGUUCCGGUGACAUCCGUUACCAUACCGUACUGAUGACAUCUUAUUUAAGCGCGCAGGCAGACGACAAGACAAGAAACCUGUACUAUCAGGCUUGUCUGUUCCUGCAUGGAUGAUCAAUAAAUCAACAGCCUCACAGACAGAAUGCAAAAAAGAAAAAGAAAGAGAGAAGACCGGCAUCUCAAGACAAGAUAAGGCCUUAAACCAGUGAAAUUCUGGUGAUGUCGACCGCCCGUUGUGUAUCCUGACCUUUACGCUGGAAGCAGGAUUUCUGGAGCCUAUGUGAAAUAUAUCUGUAUAUAUAAGGCAGCAAAUUUGUGAAUGUUGAAAAACAAUGCACGCACCUUUGACUAUUGCAACCAAACCCUGCCUUUAUUCUUUUGAUAGCAGUAAAAUUGGUACAGCUUUCCUAGAGCCAUUUUUAUGGUUUCUCGGUGCUCGGUUCCUGCCCUUGUGACCUGCCGGAAUAUCGUGACUUGACAAUAUAUGUGGUUCCUUGUAAGAAGCCGUCUGCAACAAAAUAAAUGGAAAUGGAAAUGCGCAGACUUGCAGCAGAAGACUUCCAUCAGAAUUCAUCAUCAGCAUUCUGCUCCUCCUGAAUGAGUCUCUUUCUCUCUCUCUCUCUCUUCUGUUUUCUAAAUCUUUUGUGUUUCCUAUUGUGUUGCUAGAGAAAAUUCAAGGGUAGAUUAACAUGUUUGCACACACACACACAAAGGUUAAAGAUGUGAUAAAAUUAUGUGUCGACUCUCACUGCCCACACUGACAGUAUUAUAUUUAACUUCAUUGGCACACAACAACAUAAAGAGAUAGUUCACCCAAAACCGA
Molecule: long non-coding RNA, 1025 nt
Organism: Labeo rohita (rohu)
Lineage: Eukaryota; Metazoa; Chordata; Actinopteri; Cypriniformes; Cyprinidae
Exons: 3
Source: RefSeq, a predicted model, not a curated record